This 492-nucleotide ribosomal RNA is filed under the name uncultured bacterium. Its description in RNAcentral is "partial 16S ribosomal RNA". It matches the Rfam family "Bacterial small subunit ribosomal RNA", at positions 29 to 507 of the family's 1533-position model. The record is from RNAcentral.
AGUGAACGCUGGCGGUAGGCCUAACACAUGCAAGUCGAACGGCAGCACAGUAAGAGCUUGCUCUUACGGGUGGCGAGUGGCGGACGAGUGAGGAAUACAUCGGAAUCUACUUUUUCGUGGGGGAUAACGUAGGGAAACUUACGCUAAUACCGCAUACGACCUACGGGUGAAAGCAGGGGAUCUUCGGACCUUGCGCGAUUGAAUGAGCCGAUGUCGGAUUAGCUAGUUGGCGGGGUAAAGGCCCACCAAGGCGACGAUCCGUAGCUGGUCUGAGAGGAUGAUCAGCCACACUGGAACUGAGACACGGUCCAGACUCCUACGGGAGGCAGCAGUGGGGAAUAUUGGACAAUGGGCGAAAGCCUGAUCCAGCCAUGCCGCGUGGGUGAAGAAGGCCUUCGGGUUGUAAAGCCCUUUUGUUGGGAAAGAAAAGCAGCAGGUUAAUACCCCGCUGUUCUGACGGUACCCAAAGAAUAAGCACCGGCUAACUUCGUG